This 497-nucleotide ribosomal RNA is filed under the name uncultured bacterium. RNAcentral describes it as "partial 16S ribosomal RNA". It matches the Rfam family "Bacterial small subunit ribosomal RNA", at positions 28 to 507 of the family's 1533-position model. The record is from RNAcentral.
GAUGAACGCUGGCGGCGUGCCUAAUACAUGCAAGUCGAGCGAACAGAUGAGGAGCUUGCUCCUCUGACGUUAGCGGCGGACGGGUGAGUAACACGUGGAUAACCUACCUAUAAGACUGGGAUAACUUCGGGAAACCGGAGCUAAUACCGGAUAAUAUAUUGAACCGCAUGGUUCAAUAGUGAAAGACGGUUUUGCUGUCACUUAUAGAUGGAUCCGCGCCGCAUUAGCUAGUUGGUAAGGUAACGGCUUACCAAGGCAACGAUGCGUAGCCGACCUGAGAGGGUGAUCGGCCACACUGGAACUGAGACACGGUCCAGACUCCUACGGGAGGCAGCAGUAGGGAAUCUUCCGCAGUGGGCGAAAGCCUGACGGAGCAACGCCGCGUGAGUGAUGAAGGUCUUCGGAUCGUAAAACUCUGUUAUUAGGGAAGAACAAAUGUGUAAGUAGCUAUGCACGUCUUGACGGUACCUAAUCAGAAAGCCACGGCUAACUACGUG